RNAcentral lists this ribosomal RNA (224 nucleotides) under uncultured Actinomycetales bacterium. RNAcentral describes it as "partial 16S ribosomal RNA". It matches the Rfam family "Bacterial small subunit ribosomal RNA", at positions 106 to 334 of the family's 1533-position model. The record is from RNAcentral. Lineage: Bacteria; Bacillati; Actinomycetota; Actinomycetes; Actinomycetales.
GUGAGUAACACGUGGGUGAUCUGCCUUGCACUUCGGGAUAAGCCUGGGAAACUGGGUCUAAUACCGGAUAGGACCAUGCUUUAGUGUGUGUGGUGGAAAGUUUUUCGGUGCAAGAUGAGCCCGCGGCCUAUCAGCUUGUUGGUGGGGUAAUGGCCUACCAAGGCGACGACGGGCAGCCGGCCUGAGAGGGUGUACGGCCACAUUGGGACUGAGACACGGCCCAG